Molecule: unclassified non-coding RNA, 418 nt
Filed under: soil metagenome
Description: partial contains 5.8S ribosomal RNA, internal transcribed spacer 2, and large subunit ribosomal RNA
Rfam family: 5.8S ribosomal RNA (bases 1-120)
Source: RNAcentral
GAUGAAGAACGUAGCGAAAUGCGAUAAGUAAUGUGAAUUGCAGAAUUCAGUGAAUCAUCGAAUCUUUGAACGCAUCUUGCGCUCCUUGGUAUUCCUUGGAGCAUGCCUGUUUGAGUAUCAUGAGCAAAUCUCAAAGUCAAUUCCUUUUGUUGAUUCAAUUGGUUUUGCUUUGGACUUGGAGGCCUUGCAGAUUUCACAGUCUGCUCCUCUUAAAUGCAUUAGCUGGAUCUCAGUAAUUAUGCUUGGUUCCUCUCGGCGUGAUAAGUAUCACUCGCUGAGGACACUGUUAAAAAGGUGGCCAGGAAAAUACUGAUUGAACCGCUUCUAACGGUCUAUUAAGUUAGACAAUUACCCUUAAGUUUGAUCUCAAAUCAGGUAGGACUACCCGCUGAACUUAAGCAUAUCAAUAAGCGGAGGA